CUAGCACACCAUGCAGAUGCCCUGCUGUCUAAGGACAAGGAGAUUGCUGCACUGCAACAGAACUGCAGAGAUCUGGAGGCACAGAGUUCCCCUCCACCAUCCUGCAAAGGAGAAUUUGAGAAGCUUCUCAGGGAGUCUCAGAGGGAGGUGCUGCGGCUUCAGAGACAGCUGUCGGUCAAGUCGUCCAGACAGCAGCAGCAUGACCGCAGCUCUGCCACAGGUGCACCAGAGGAUUGUGGGAAAA
Thalassophryne amazonica is the source of this 244-nucleotide long non-coding RNA. RefSeq lists it as uncharacterized. The transcript has 2 exons. The record is from RefSeq and is a predicted model, not a curated record. Lineage: Eukaryota; Metazoa; Chordata; Actinopteri; Batrachoidiformes; Batrachoididae.